This 205-nucleotide long non-coding RNA is filed under the name Vigna radiata. Its description in RNAcentral is "long non-coding RNA (VRAD_LNC013905)". Lineage: Eukaryota; Viridiplantae; Streptophyta; Magnoliopsida; Fabales; Fabaceae. The record is from RNAcentral.
GGGGAAGAGCUCUCUAUUUAUAGAGCUAGGAAAGAAUAAAAUAAAUAAAAGAAAUUAAAACCAAUAAAUAAUUUGACCGUUGCAGUACUUAAAAAUUUGGCUGUUGGAAUAUUACUGUUGGAGCACAUUAUUGGCAAUUAAAGUUUUGAAAGUUGUAAUCCAACGUUUCCUUUUGCAAUAAUAUAAUCAUUAUUAGAACAAUCCC